Molecule: unclassified non-coding RNA, 348 nt
Filed under: soil metagenome
Description: partial contains 5.8S ribosomal RNA, internal transcribed spacer 2, and large subunit ribosomal RNA
Rfam family: 5.8S ribosomal RNA (bases 1-120)
Source: RNAcentral
GAUGAAGAACGUAGCGAAAUGCGAUAAGUAGUGUGAAUUGCAGAAUUCCGUGAAUCAUCGAAUCUUUGAACGCACAUUGCGCCCGCUGGUAUUCCGGCGGGCAUGCCUGUUCGAGCGUCAUUUCAACCCUCAAGCCCCCGGGUUUGGUGUUGGGGAUCGGCUCUGCCCUUCUGGGCGGUGCCGCCCCCGAAAUACUUUGGCGGUCUCGCUGCAGCCUCCAUUGCGUAGUAGCUAACACCUCGCAACUGGAACGCGGCGCGGCCAUGCCGUAAAACCCCAACUUCUGAAUGUUGACCUCGGAUCAGGUAGGAAUACCCGCUGAACUUAAGCAUAUCAAUAAGCGGAGGA